This 495-nucleotide ribosomal RNA is filed under the name uncultured bacterium. RNAcentral's name for it is "partial 16S ribosomal RNA". It matches the Rfam family "Bacterial small subunit ribosomal RNA", at positions 28 to 507 of the family's 1533-position model. The record is from RNAcentral.
GACGAACGCUGGCGGCGUGCCUAAUACAUGCAAGUAGAACGCUGAAGGAGGAGCUUGCUUCUCUGGAUGAGUUGCGAACGGGUGAGUAACGCGUAGGUAACCUGCCUGGUAGCGGGGGAUAACUACUGGAAACGAUAGCUAAUACCGCAUAAUAGUAGAUGUUGCAUGACAUUUGCUUAAAAGGUGCAAUUGCAUCACUACCAGAUGGACCUGCGUUGUAUUAGCUAGUUGGUGAGGUAACGGCUCACCAAGGCGACGAUACAUAGCCGACCUGAGAGGGUGAUCGGCCACACUGGGACUGAGACACGGCCCAGCCUCCUACGGGAGGCAGCAGUAGGGAAUCUUCGGCAAUGGACGGAAGUCCGACCGAGCAACGCCGCGUGAGUGAAGAAGGUUUUCGGAUCGUAAAGCUCUGUUGUAAGAGAAGAACGAGUGUGAGAGUGGAAAGUUCACACUGUGACGGUAUCUUACCAGAAAGGGACGGCUAACUACGUG